GAUUUGAUCCUGGCUCAGAACGAACGCUGGCGGCAGGCUUAACACAUGCAAGUCGAACGCGAGUAGCAAUACUCGAGUGGCGCACGGGUGCGUAACGCGUGGGAACCUUCCUCGUAGUUCGGAAUAACUCAGGGAAACUUGAGCUAAUACCGAAUGCCUCCUUCGGGAGAAAGAUUUAUCGCUACGAGAUGGGCCCGCGUCAGAUUAGGUAGUUGGUAGGUAACGGCCUACCAAGCCGACGAUCUGUAGCUGGUCUGAGAGGAUGAUCAGCCACACUGGGACUGAGACACGGCCCAGACUCCUACGGGAGGCAGCAGUGGGGAAUAUUGGACAAUGGGGGCAACCCUGAUCCAGCCAUGCCGCGUGAGUGAAGAAGGCCUUCGGGUUGU
Molecule: ribosomal RNA, 389 nt
Filed under: uncultured Alphaproteobacteria bacterium
Lineage: Bacteria; Pseudomonadati; Pseudomonadota; Alphaproteobacteria
Description: bacterial SSU rRNA
Rfam family: Bacterial small subunit ribosomal RNA
Source: RNAcentral